RNAcentral lists this long non-coding RNA (218 nucleotides) under Mytilus galloprovincialis (Mediterranean mussel). Lineage: Eukaryota; Metazoa; Mollusca; Bivalvia; Mytilida; Mytilidae. The record is from RNAcentral.
AUAAUUCUAACGAAAAAUCGUAGCUUCUUUAUCGUUGUAUGUAACAGAUUAUCUACAAACUAAAUUCAAUCAGCGUACAGGAGGUUCAUGUCUAUCCUGUUACCGCUACUUAAAUCAGUCGUUAAAUUAUUCUCCCUAUGAAUAUUGAAUCAGUCAGUGUUGAUUUCAAAAAUGCAAAGUAAUCUUUACAUUUAAAACGCCUCGUUUCUUGAACGACA